RNAcentral lists this ribosomal RNA (109 nucleotides) under uncultured bacterium. Its description in RNAcentral is "partial 16S ribosomal RNA". It matches the Rfam family "Bacterial small subunit ribosomal RNA", at positions 1373 to 1482 of the family's 1533-position model. The record is from RNAcentral.
CCCGGGCCUUGUACACACCGCCCGUCACACCACGAAAGUUGGCUCGACCCGAAGUCGCUAACCCAACCGCAAGGAGGGAGGCGCCAACGGUCUGGCGAUGAUUGGGGUG